GACUUUGAAAACAAUCAAGCACACAAUGAAAGCAAAUGGAAAUAAAUAUGGGAAAAUGGGCGAUUCAGUUGUUGUGCAGUUGCAGUUGAAGCUUUUCAGGGGAUUUUUUUUAUUAUUAUUAUUGUUAUUC
Molecule: non-coding RNA, 130 nt
Filed under: Fibrocapsa japonica
Lineage: Eukaryota; Raphidophyceae; Chattonellales; Chattonellaceae
Source: RNAcentral